AUUCCAACACAACAACAAACGCGGGCGAUUUGUGCGACUUCUUCAAGGGAGAAAGCCUUUGAUCAUGAUGUCUGUCAGGAUCCAGUGAUUAUCCCACCUCCCCAGCAACCUGCAACCUACAGGCAAACUUUGAGGUUGUAGAAUAAUGGCAACUGUUGGGAACUGAAUGCCUCCUCACUUUGUUCUACCUACCUCCUAGAGAACCAGAAGAGUGAGGGAACAGUUUGAUGCCAAACAAUCAACAUGCUCAUCCCAUCCCCUGCUGGCAGGCAAAUGUAGCAGACUGGCACGGUUUGGUAGCUGUAGCUCAAAUUGAGCCUCGCCACAUGUUCCCCUUUGCUUUUGUGCCGUCUCUUGUAGGAAGUAGUUUUGUUUAGCACAGAGCCGCUAUCAGCACAAAAAUAUCUUACAAAGGGAUAGCUGAAAAAAUACGACAAGAUCUAUAUGAGUCAACUUGUAAUAACCAGCCACCACUAGAGGAAAUUCAUUGCUUCUUAAACCCUUGGGUGUCGGAAAGAUUGUAUUGGAGCCCCCGUCUGACGAUGGAAGGAUUUGGACUCCAUCGGGAAGUUUUGCAGCAGUUAUUACCUCCUGAAGAUGCUCUGAUAUAAAAGGAGAACACAAUUUAUUGCGAAAUUCAGCUCUCCCAGACAAUAGAAAACCCCUAGUUAUAGUGGUGGAAAUUAAUAAAUGGGCUGCGGAAACAUUUACAGGGGAAUGCAAUGCAAGUUAUAAGCAGAAUAUAAAUUCCCAAAAGAAAGAAAACAAAGAAAGAAGAAUGAUAUUUGUAAGACUAUUUAGCAGUUGCUGAUUUUAUAUGCACAAAGACAGUAGGGGACACUAGUGCAAAGUGCAAACCACCACAAUCUUGCACCCUGGGUGUAGGUCUUUGUGCUCCAGAAUGUUUUUCUUACACGUAUACAGCAAUAUCUGUGUUUAACCAGGGGAAUGUUGGGGUGGCAUGUAGGGGUCCCCAAUUCUGCCUUUCCUUCUAUCUUGCACAACAUUUAAAGACAGAACUGUGCUCUGCACCUUGUGCUGGGCUUUUAAUCUUGUGUAGAUGGCAGCAAUGCCUUGAACCAAAAUGCUCAGGAAAUGAAAACGGAGAGGUGUGAAUUGGCAGCCCUUUGUGCUCUUGCAUUUGCUUGGUGUUUUUCACGACUAAGGGUGGGUACGUUAAGAUUCGCUGGCGAGUGGAUCUUCUCUCGAUAUGCCGAACUAAGGUGGGCUAAUUUGAUAGUUUGGACCUAGGGUCAAGUGAUCAAAUUACAAUUCAUCAGACCGAGGAUUGCAUCAACGAGCCGACAUGAUCCCCAAACAGGAAAAUCAAACCUGCCCAAUUUUCUGCCAGAUAACUUGUCAAAUUGGUCUUAAGUGUGUGAAUUGGCAGCUUAUAUCCACCCGAGUAAUGACCACCAUAAUAAGUUUUCCCGCAUACCUUGCACAUGUUUUUCUACAUAUCAUACGCAUUGAGUUGUAGCUUGUGCAGACACUUCUUUGUGUCCAUGUUGGUAAAUUGCUGGCAAAGGACAUUGCUUGAUCCAUUAGUUGCAAAAAGAAUGAGCAUGUAAUUCAUUGGGUAAACGUUUCUUGUGUGUGUAGAAGAACAUGCAAAGGGCACCCUGGGUAUAACACAGAUGGAAAUUAUCGAUGGCACCAAGGGGGAUAGGAGAUUUCUGGGUAUUUGUGUACCUAAUAGGAUUGGCCAUGAUUCCUACGGGAGGGGUGGUUAUUUAAGCGAGAGGAAUGCCUUACCUGCCCCCUUUUCCCCUUGAGCACCUGGAACUCUGUUGAAACUCCCCCACCAACCCUCCCAUGAUUUCAUAUUUUGAGUUUUUGCUUAUAUUAUACUUCAGUGUAUCAUUAUUGUAACACCAUUUCUGUUGCAACUGUAUUUGUUUAUUACUUUUAAGCAUUUAGUAUGUUUUUUUUCUAUUGUUACGGAGGUUGUGUAGGUAUUUAAUUGUGUCCUUGCCAUUGGUAAAAAGUUCUCUUGGUUCACCUCACAUGUCCACCAGUGGCAUUUGGUUUAAUUAUGGUUGGAUAUGGCAUGGAUCCGUUAUUAUUUGACCACUGACCCCAGAGACCUGAUUGGUGUUGAACUAUACUAUUUGCACUGAUCAACUUUAUUUGUAACAGUACCCACAAUGCACUGCAGCUGCUAAAUGCUUCACACUUGUUGGCACACUACUUCUGUCUUAAACACAUAGUGGUAUACAAAGCAUUGUGUAAUAUGGCAUACGUGGCUAAUAUACGUGAGUGAAAAUCUCAAAUUUAAUCUCAAAUGUAUGUUAAUAUUCAAAAGGCAGAGUAAAUAUGUGAAGUUUCCGUGAUUGCAGGCAAUGUCUUUAUUUAUAUUAUAUUCCUGUAUUAUGGUAAAAAGUGCCUUAAUAACUCAAGUGCACGUACUGAACUAUGGGAAGAAAUGUAAUGAAGACAUAACACACGUUAUACUAGUUGCAAUCGAGCAUGUUAUUUGCAUUUUUAUUGGAAUUAUGGUAAUACUCAUCUAGUAUUUUGCAUAUAAUACGUUUGUGCAACAACUUAUAUAUAUAUAGUAUUUUCCUGUUGUCAUAUGUCCAUUAAACAGGAGAAAUAGCCAUUAA
This is a long non-coding RNA of Xenopus tropicalis (tropical clawed frog), 2606 nucleotides long. RefSeq lists it as uncharacterized. The transcript has 3 exons. The record is from RefSeq and is a predicted model, not a curated record. Lineage: Eukaryota; Metazoa; Chordata; Amphibia; Anura; Pipidae.